Molecule: ribosomal RNA, 468 nt
Filed under: uncultured bacterium
Lineage: Bacteria
Description: partial 16S ribosomal RNA
Rfam family: Bacterial small subunit ribosomal RNA
Source: RNAcentral
GACGAACGCUGGCGGCGUGCUUAACACAUGCAAGUCGAACGGAAAGGCCCUGCUUGUGUGGGGUGCUCGAGUGGCGAACGGGUGAGUAACACGGGAGUAACCUGCCCUUGACUUUGGGAUAACUUCAGGAAACUGGGGCUAAUACCGGAUAGGAGCUCCUGCUGCAUGGGGGGGGUUGGAAAGCUUCGGCGGUUGGGGAUGGACGCGCGGCUUAUCAGCUUGUUGGUGGGGUAGUGGCUUACCAAGGCUUUGACGGGUAGCCGGCCUGAGAGGGUGACCGGGCACAUUGGGACUGAGAUACGGCCCAGACUGCUACGGGAGGCAGCAGUGGGGAAUAUGGCACAAUGGGCGGAAGCCUGAUGCAGCAACGCCGCGUGCGGGAUGACGGCCUUCGUGUUGUAAACCGCUUUCGCCUGUGACGAAGCGUUAGUGACGGUAAUGGGUAAAGAAGCACCGGCUAACUACGUG